RNAcentral lists this ribosomal RNA (253 nucleotides) under uncultured bacterium. RNAcentral describes it as "partial 16S ribosomal RNA". It matches the Rfam family "Bacterial small subunit ribosomal RNA", at positions 524 to 776 of the family's 1533-position model. The record is from RNAcentral.
UACAGAGGGUGCAAACGGUGCUCGGAAUUAUUGGGCGGAAAGCGCGUGUAGGCGGCUUGUUAAGGUGGUUGUGAAAACCCAUGGCUCAACCAUGGAAGGGCGUCCAAAACUGGCAAGCUAGAGUCCCGACGAGGAUGGCGGAAUUCCCAGUGUAGAGGUGAAAUUCGUAGAUAUUGGGAGGAACACCGGUGGCGAAGGCGGCCAUCUGGGAGGGCACUGACGCUGAGACGCGAAAGCGUGGGGAGCAAACAGG